CGUGGGGUAGGGGAGCGUUCUGUAAGCCGUUGAAGGUGGUCUGUAAGGGCUGCUGGAGGUAUCAGAAGUGCGAAUGCUGACAUGAGUAACGAUAAAGGGAGUGAAAAACUCCCUCGCCGGAAGACCAAGGGUUCCUGUCCAACGUUAAUCGGGGCAGGGUAAGUCGACCCCUAAGGCGAGGCCGAAAGGCGUAGUCGAUGGGAAACGGGUUAAUAUUCCCGUACUUCUUACAAUUGCGAUGGGGGGACGGAGAAGGCUAGGUGGGCCUGGCGACGGUUGUCCAGGUUCAAGUACGUAGGCGGAAGAAUUAGGUAAAUCCGGUUCUUCAUAACGCUGAGAUACGAUGUCGAGCUACUACGGUAGUGAAGUCAUUGAUGCCAUGCUUCCAGGAAAAGCCUCUAAGCUUCAGAUUGUAAGGAAUCGUACCCCAAACCGACACAGGUGGUCGGGUAGAGAAUACCAAGGCGCUUGAGAGAACUCGGGUGAAGGAACUAGGCAAAAUGGUACCGUAACUUCGGGAGAAGGUACGCUCUUAUCAGUGAAGUCCCUUGCGGAUGGAGCAGACGAGAGUCGCAGAUACCAGGUGGCUGCAACUGUUUAUUAAAAACACAGCACUGUGCAAAAUCGUAAGAUGACGUAUACGGUGUGACGCCUGCCCGGUGCCGGAAGGUUAAUUGAUGGGGUUAGACUUCGGUCGAAGCUCUUGAUCGAAGCCCCGGUAAACGGCGGCCGUAACUAUAACGGUCCUAAGGUAGCGAAAUUCCUUGUCGGGUAAGUUCCGACCUGCACGAAUGGCGUAAUGAUGGCCACGCUGUCUCCACCCGAGACUCAGUGAAAUUGAAAUCGCUGUGAAGAUGCAGUGUACCCGCGGCUAGACGGAAAGACCCCGUGAACCUUUACUACAGCUUGGCACUGAACAUUGAACCUACAUGUGUAGGAUAGGUGGGAGACUUUGAAACCGCGUCGCUAGAUGUGGUGGAGUCGUCCUUGAAAUACCACCCUUGUAGUUUUGAUGUUCUAACGUUGGUCCCUGAAUCGGGAUUACGGACAGUGCCUGGUGGGUAGUUUGACUGGGGCGGUCUCCUCCCAAAGAGUAACGGAGGAGCACGAAGGUGGGCUAAACACGGUUGGACAUCGUGUGGUUAGUGCAAUGGCAUAAGCCCGCUUGACUGCGAGAAUGACAAUUCGAGCAGGUGCGAAAGCAGGUCAUAGUGAUCCGGUGGUUCUGAAUGGAAGGGCCAUCGCUCAACGGAUAAAAGGUACUCCGGGGAUAACAGGCUGAUACCGCCCAAGAGUUCAUAUCGACGGCGGUGUUUGGCACCUCGAUGUCGGCUCAUCACAUCCUGGGGCUGAAGUCGGUCCCAAGGGUAUGGCUGUUCGCCAUUUAAAGUGGUACGCGAGCUGGGUUUAGAACGUCGUGAGACAGUUCGGUCCCUAUCUGCCGUGGGCGUUGGAAAAUUGAAGGGGGCUGCUCCUAGUACGAGAGGACCGGAGUGGACGAACCUCUGGUGUUCGGGUUGUCAUGCCAAUGGCAUUGCCCGGUAGCUAAGUUCGGAAUCGAUAACCGCUGAAAGCAUCUAAGCGGGAAGCGAGCCCUGAGAUGAGUUUUCCCUGAC
This 1616-nucleotide ribosomal RNA is filed under the name Vibrio chagasii. Its description in RNAcentral is "ribosomal RNA 23s ribosomal RNA". It matches the Rfam family "Bacterial large subunit ribosomal RNA", at positions 1222 to 2819 of the family's 2925-position model. Lineage: Bacteria; Pseudomonadati; Pseudomonadota; Gammaproteobacteria; Vibrionales; Vibrionaceae. The record is from RNAcentral.